UCAAUUUGGACUCCUAAUGAUAUCAAUUUUGCGUCAUCAGGAAGACUAAUAUUUCUUUAUACUGGUACAGACACGUAGCAUUUGUCGAAUUUGUUAAUUCAGUUCACUCAUCAGUUAAAUUCAUUAUCGAAAUGGAGUUUGCAAGUUCUGAGAAGAAUAUAACACUGCCAAUUACUCAAGAACAAUCAUGGAAAGGGAAUUGAAAUAUUUAUCAAAAGGAGGCAUUACAAAAUCUCCAUUUUCUUAAAAAAAAAAAACGUUCAUAGUGCCCUCAUAAUGAUGGAUUAUGUCACAUUUGUUUUUCUUAUCAAAAGGUAAUGAAAAUAAUGCUUUUUCAUGUAAAUUUUGCCCUACAUGCAUAUAUUGUCGCGUUCAAAGAUGGUGAGGAUUUUCACGUCCAUCCUGUAUAAUAUUUUCGGAGGCAGCAAAAUGGCUUUUGCUAGAAGUUAUUAAAUAAUUUGCUUCACUCCCACUCCCUGGUUUGACCAAUCAUGAUUAAAAUUUCAAAUGAGUAUAUCAAAGAAACCACUUCACAUUAUUUUGCCAUGGUAAAUUCCAUUCAUAAACAUGUUUUGUUUCAUUACCGAACUAAAAAUCUUUUGCAAUAAAAUUUUUAAAGAUA
Leptinotarsa decemlineata (Colorado potato beetle) is the source of this 622-nucleotide long non-coding RNA. Lineage: Eukaryota; Metazoa; Arthropoda; Insecta; Coleoptera; Chrysomelidae. The record is from RefSeq and is a predicted model, not a curated record.